Molecule: ribosomal RNA, 425 nt
Filed under: uncultured bacterium
Lineage: Bacteria
Description: bacterial SSU rRNA
Rfam family: Bacterial small subunit ribosomal RNA
Source: RNAcentral
AGGGAAUCUUCCGCAAUGGGCGCAAGCCUGACGGAGCGACGCCGCGUGAGCGAGGAAGGCCUUCGGGUUGUAAAGCUCUGUUGUGAGGGAAGAACGCCCUGGAGAGGGAAUGCUCUGGGGGUGACGGUACCUCACGAGGAAGCCCCGGCUAACUACGUGCCAGCAGCCGCGGUAAUACGUAGGGGGCGAGCGUUGUCCGGAAUUAUUGGGCGUAAAGGGCGUGUAGGCGGCCUCUUAAGUCCGGUGUGAAAGCCCCCGGCUCAACCGGGGAGGGGCACUGGAAACUGGGGGGCUUGAGAGCAGGAGAGGAGAGCGGAAUUCCACGUGUAGCGGUGAAGUGCGUAGAGAUGUGGAGGAACACCAGUGGCGAAGGCGGCUCUCUGGCCUGGCUCUGACGCUGAGGCGCGAAAGCGUGGGGAGCAAAC